RNAcentral lists this ribosomal RNA (253 nucleotides) under uncultured bacterium. RNAcentral's name for it is "partial 16S ribosomal RNA". It matches the Rfam family "Bacterial small subunit ribosomal RNA", at positions 524 to 776 of the family's 1533-position model. The record is from RNAcentral.
UACGUAGGGUGCAGGCGUUAAUCGGAAUUACUGGGCGUAAAGGGCUCGUAGGCGGCCAACUAAGUCAGACGUGAAAUCCCUCGGCUUAACCGGGGAACUGCGUCUGAUACUGGAUGGCUGGAGUUUGGGAGAGGGAUGCGGAAUUCCAGGUGUAGCGGUGAAAUGCGUAGAUAUCGUAAGGAAGACCAGUGGCGAAGGCGGGUCUCUGGACAGUUCCUGACGCUGAGGCACGAAGGCCAGGGGAGCAAACGGG